Molecule: ribosomal RNA, 305 nt
Filed under: uncultured bacterium
Lineage: Bacteria
Description: bacterial SSU rRNA
Rfam family: Bacterial small subunit ribosomal RNA
Source: RNAcentral
CCUACGGGACGCAGCAGUGAGGAAUAUUGGUCAAUGGGCGGAAGCCUGAACCAGCCAAGUCGCGUGAGGGAAUAAGGCCCUACGGGUCGUAAACCUCUUUUGCCGGGGAGCAAGGGCGGGGACGUGUCCCGGCCCGGAGAGUACCCGGAGAAAAAGCAUCGGCUAACUCCGUGCCAGCAGCCGCGGUAAUACGUAGGGGGCAAGCGUUAUCCGGAUUUACUGGGUGUAAAGGGAGCGUAGGUGGCAGGGCAAGUCAGAUGUGGAAACCCGGGGCUCAACUCCGGGAGUGCAUUUGAAACUGUCCA